This 300-nucleotide unclassified non-coding RNA is filed under the name Hevea brasiliensis (rubber tree). Lineage: Eukaryota; Viridiplantae; Streptophyta; Magnoliopsida; Malpighiales; Euphorbiaceae. The record is from RNAcentral.
GGCAGAACAUGUCAUUAAUUCCAUUCUUGUCAGAGAUAAAGCUCUCUCGCAUCUCCUCUUCUCACUUCCGGAUGUCAUUGAUAAGAUCAAGUUUAUCGUGGCACAAGUCACCGGCUUACAGCUGGAGGCUAAGAAUGGCGAUGAUCCCCUUGAUGCAAAGUCUUCCUACGAGCCAAUUGAGUUAACCUCAUCAUCAUUUGUUGAGGUAACAGUAGGUCAUGAGGAAGAUGAAGCCCGGAUCAUUGGCCAGCUCCUUGAUGAACAUGAAUCCAAGCUUGAUGUCAUUUCCAUUGUCGGAAU